RNAcentral lists this ribosomal RNA (253 nucleotides) under uncultured bacterium. RNAcentral's name for it is "partial 16S ribosomal RNA". It matches the Rfam family "Bacterial small subunit ribosomal RNA", at positions 524 to 776 of the family's 1533-position model. The record is from RNAcentral.
UACGUAGGGGGCAAGCGUUGUCCGGAAUUAUUGGGCGUAAAGAGCUCGUAGGCGGCUUGUCACGUCGGCUGUGAAAACCCGGGGCUCAACCCCGGGCCUGCAGUCGAUACGGGCAAGCUAGAGUUCGGCAGGGGAGACUGGAAUUCCUGGUGUAGCGGUGAAAUGCGCAGAUAUCAGGAGGAACACCGGUGGCGAAGGCGGGUCUCUGGGCCGAUACUGACGCUGAGGAGCGAAAGCGUGGGGAGCGAACAGG